RNAcentral lists this unclassified non-coding RNA (253 nucleotides) under uncultured Flavobacteriaceae bacterium. Its description in RNAcentral is "contains 16S-23S intergenic spacer region". It matches the Rfam family "Bacterial small subunit ribosomal RNA", at positions 524 to 776 of the family's 1533-position model. The record is from RNAcentral. Lineage: Bacteria; Pseudomonadati; Bacteroidota; Flavobacteriia; Flavobacteriales; Flavobacteriaceae.
UACGGAGGGUCCGAGCGUUAUCCGGAAUCAUUGGGUUUAAAGGGUCCGCAGGCGGGCAAUUAAGUCAGGGGUGAAAUGGUGCGGCUCAACCGUAGCACUGCCCUUGAUACUGGUUGUCUUGAGUUAUGGUGAAGUGGCCGGAAUAUGUAGUGUAGCGGUGAAAUGCAUAGAUAUUACAUAGAACACCGAUCGCGAAGGCAGGUCACUAACCAUCAACUGACGCUGAUGGACGAAAGCUAGGGUCACGAACCGG